CCCUUAGAUGUUCUGGGCUGCACGCGCGCUACACUGAUGCGCUCAACGAGUUUUGACCUUGCCCGGCAGGGUUGGGUAAUCUUCUUAAAACGCAUCGUGAUGGGGAUAGAUUAUUGCAAUUAUUAAUCUUCAACGAGGAAUUCCUAGUAAGCGCGAGUCAUCAGCUCGUGCUGAUUACGUCCCUGCCCUUUGUACACACCGCCUGUCGCUCCUACCGAUUGAGUGAUCCGGUGAGUAAUUCGGACUGCAGCAGUGUUCAGUUCCUGAACGUUGCAGCGGAAAGUUUAGCAAACCUUAUCACUUAGAGGAAGGAGAAGUCGUAACA
This 325-nucleotide ribosomal RNA is filed under the name uncultured eukaryote. Its description in RNAcentral is "partial 18S ribosomal RNA". It matches the Rfam family "Eukaryotic small subunit ribosomal RNA", at positions 1470 to 1796 of the family's 1831-position model. The record is from RNAcentral.